This 538-nucleotide ribosomal RNA is filed under the name uncultured bacterium. RNAcentral describes it as "bacterial SSU rRNA". It matches the Rfam family "Bacterial small subunit ribosomal RNA", at positions 777 to 1315 of the family's 1533-position model. The record is from RNAcentral.
AAUAGAUACCCUGGUAGUCCACCCCGUAAACGUUGGGAACUAGUUGUGGGGUCCUUUCCACGGAUUCCGUGACGCAGCUAACGCAUUAAGUUCCCCGCCUGGGGAGUACGGCCGCAAGGCUAAAACUCAAAGGAAUUGACGGGGACCCGCACAAGCGGCGGAGCAUGCGGAUUAAUUCGAUGCAACGCGAAGAACCUUACCAAGGCUUGACAUACACCAGAACACCCUAGAAAUAGGGGACUCUUUGGACACUGGUGAACAGGUGGUGCAUGGUUGUCGUCAGCUCGUGUCGUGAGAUGUUGGGUUAAGUCCCGCAACGAGCGCAACCCUCGUUCUAUGUUGCCAGCACGUAAUGGUGGGAACUCAUGGGAUACUGCCGGGGUCAACUCGGAGGAAGGUGGGAUGACGUCAAAUCAUCAUGCCCCUUAUGUCUUGGGCUUCACGCAUGCUACAAUGGCCGGUACAAAGGGCUGCAAUACCGUGAGGUGGAGCGAAUCCCAAAAAGCCGGUCCAGUUCGGAUUGAGGUCUGCAACUCGA